UGAUGUGUGGGUGAUCUGGCUAUGGCAUCUGUCACUCCAUUGGUCACUAGAGUUGAUUUGGCUGAUCUGGUCAGCUAGACAAGUGUCCCUUUCUUCCCUCAUCACUCCAUGUGCAUCCCUCCUGAAGCUGCACAUUUGGUGGAAGAGAACAACCAUCUUAGACAGAAANAGAGUACUGUUCUUUGGCCGAGGAUAUAUACAGAUACACAGUCAGUGGGUGUAUCCCCUUGUGCUGUCAAAGAGGCAGGAUCCAGUGCUCCUUUUGGGACAUAUCAAGUGCCCAUGGAUGAAGUCACUAUAAAUUGUUUUAUUAAUU
This 316-nucleotide small nuclear RNA is filed under the name Salvator merianae (Argentine black and white tegu). Its description in RNAcentral is "7SK RNA (ENSSMRG00000015071.1)". It matches the Rfam family "7SK RNA". From Rfam's summary of the family: 7SK was discovered as an abundant small nuclear RNA in the mid-70s but a possible function has only recently been suggested. The record is from RNAcentral. Lineage: Eukaryota; Metazoa; Chordata; Lepidosauria; Squamata; Teiidae.